Molecule: ribosomal RNA, 492 nt
Filed under: uncultured bacterium
Lineage: Bacteria
Description: partial 16S ribosomal RNA
Rfam family: Bacterial small subunit ribosomal RNA
Source: RNAcentral
AGUGAACGCUGGCGGUAGGCCUAACACAUGCAAGUCGAACGGCAGCACAGUACGUGCUUGCUCUUCCGGGUGGCGAGUGGCGGACGGGUGAGGAAUACAUCGGAAUCUACUUUUUCGUGGGGGUUCACGUAGGGAAACUUACGCUAAUACCGCAUACGACCUACGGGUGAAAGCAGGGGAUCUUCGCACCUUGCGCGGUUGAAUUCGCCGCUGCCGGUGUAGCUAGUUGGCGGGGUAAAGGCCAACCCAGGCGGCGAUCCGUAGCUGGUGUGAGAGGAUGAUAGGCCGCAUGGGAAGGGGGACACGGUCCAGGGGCCUGCGGGAGGGAGCAGUGGGGUAUAGUGGGCAAUGGGCGGAAGCAUGAUACAGCCAUACCGCGUGGGUGAAGAAGGCCUUCGGGUUGUAAAGACGUUUUGUGGGGAAAGAACAGCAGCAGGUUGAUACGCCGCGGUUCUGACGGUACCCAAAGAAUAAGCACCGGCUAACUUCGUG